Molecule: ribosomal RNA, 438 nt
Filed under: Exanthemachrysis gayraliae
Lineage: Eukaryota; Haptophyta; Pavlovophyceae; Pavlovales; Pavlovaceae
Description: partial Bacterial small subunit ribosomal RNA
Rfam family: Bacterial small subunit ribosomal RNA
Source: RNAcentral
CCCGCAACGAGCUCAACCCUUGUUCACUGUUGCCAGCACGUUAUGGUGGGGACUCAGUGGAGACCGCCGGGGUCAACUCGGAGGAAGGUGGGGAUGACGUCAAGUCAUCAUGCCCCUUAUGUCCAGGGCUUCACGCAUGCUACAAUGGCUGGUACAGAGAGUGGCGAGCCUGUGAGGGUGAGCGAAUCUCGGAAAGCCGGUCUCAGUUCGGAUUGGGGUCUGCAACUCGACCUCAUGAAGUUGGAGUCGCUAGUAAUCGCAGAUCAGCAACGCUGCGGUGAAUACGUUCCCGGGGCUUGUACACACCGCCCGUCAAGUCAUGAAAGUUGGUAACACCCGAAGCCGGUGGCCUAACCGUUGUGGGGGAGCCGUCGAAGGUGGGACUGGUGAUUAGGACUAAGUCGUAACAAGGUAGCCGUACCGGAAGGUGCGGCUGGA